RNAcentral lists this long non-coding RNA (2680 nucleotides) under Lepisosteus oculatus (spotted gar). RNAcentral's name for it is "lncRNA (ENSLOCG00000021970.1)". Lineage: Eukaryota; Metazoa; Chordata; Actinopteri; Semionotiformes; Lepisosteidae. The record is from RNAcentral.
CAGGCGUAUGCACGCGUAAACGAAGUAUAUUUAUGCUCAAAAGAAAUUCAGUUUCUUCUUAGGUUUCUCUUUCCUGUAUUCUCUAUAGUGGACUAGUCCUGCUUAUUUUUAUUGCGGCUCAAAACAUGACAAAUGAUUGCUCAGACACCUCCGUGACAACCGGACUGCUCUAUAUUUAGUUAAUGAUAACCCGGUGGUUCACACAUUGAAGUAUGGGAACCAAUUAUUUGCAAUGAUAAAAAGGUAACCCAGCAAACCCAUGCCAAGAUAAACUAAUACUUGAGCCGCCGGGGGCAACUCUAAACUCAAGAGCUCACUACGAGAUACGUACUGUGAUCUGCAUGUGACUUUCGGGCGCCUGCGAGGCAUGUCCGUUCCACUUUCAUAGUCUGAAGACAGAAAAUAGAAAAUAAAAUAGCGUUAUGAUUGUAAGAGGCACGGGCUGACACGGCCAUCACGGCUCUAGAAGGAAAGUUCUCUUCUGGGGGAGAAGAAGGAGGCAUUUGUAACAUGCCAGUAGCCUACUUUCCUUCAGCUAGGAUAUGUAUGACCUGGGGAUAAACUGAUGACCCACUAUCCUGAAGUUGAACCAGAAUGGUUUCAACGUUCUCACUCAGCCCCGUCUUACGGAUGUUCCACUAGAUACUCGGGUGCACUGCGCUGAUUAGAUUCCAAACACCUGGUGGUUUCCACUGCAUUGAUGCAAGCCAUCUCGAGCUCAUUAAAUGACGAGCCUUAAAAUCCCUGGGCUCCAGAAGGCUACAGUCUAAGCCGAAGAUGAUUCUUCUCUGUGGACAAAAAGACAAAGAUGGCCCUUGGUUGCUGUCUAGUCUGCUGCUGUCCGCUGGUCCUCCUUGGUGGGGCUGGAUUUAUACCCGUCUUGGGGGGUCUCUCGCCGCCUCUCUGCCUUGGAGGUCUGUGUGCCAUCGGGGCUCACCUCCCCUCGGGGUCAGCUGGAGACUGCCAGGGUCACACAUUUCUGAUCUCCAAACCUCAAUUUAUAGCUGAAGGUUAUGACUUUCAAGAUUCUCAUGGUUUCCUGUUAAAUCGAGCUGAGUGUUGUUGAAGGCUAUGUGGGGCUUUUUUUUUUGUUUCUUCUCUAUUUUCUUUUUACAGUAAACCUGCCUUUGAUUUUUAUUUUUCAGUUCUUUUUUUAUCAAGGUAGACCUAUAGCUUUGUACAUCAGCUGAUUACACGUCCUUUAGGAAUGAAACAGUGUGUUCCAUAGAUCCUUUAAAGCAGUUUGUUUGCUUUGCUUUGCUCUUGUUUUCAGCUAAUUGGAUAUUAAACUCAUCAAUACAGUGACACAAACUGUUCCCCUACAAAUAAGUUUAGUGUUUUCUACUGAAUUUUUUCUGUGACUCUUAAAGUGUUCGUGUAAGAUUUCAAAUGCUGGAGCUACAAAAGCAGUAGUCUUCAAGUUUAUCACAAGACAGUAAUAAUCUUUAAAAAUGUUCCAGUCGAAUGGGGCAAUGACUGGAUUGUUACUUUCAAUCCCAGCUGCUUAACCUUUCCUGUUUUUAGAGACUAACUGUAGUGCAGGAACUCCGUAUGGGAAUUACCUCCCCUUCCUUACGUUUGCAUAAAAAAAAACAGCUGAAAAUGUAAACUCCUAAAGUUGGACUGCCACGGUUUCUAAUUCAACACAAUGGCAGCAACAAAUGUAUUUUCACACCAGGGUUACAAAUUCUUCAGCAGGGAGGACUUUUCUUUCAAAAGGAGAAUUACUCUUUAAUGUGUGAAUGAGGUGUGUUUUAUACAAAUACAGAGUACAGAGGUUAAGCUUUAAGCUUUUUACACUUCAUAUACAAAUACUCUAAGGGGAGACACUGUUGGUUUGUUAAAUGUAUGACUAAUUAAGAAUAUCUCACUGUUUCUAGUUACAUCAGAUUUUCUCCUACCUCUGUGUACCUCCAUUUUUAUUCUUGUGUUAUUUGCAAUGUUGUAAUCUCUUUUCACUUGUUAUUGUACAAAUAAAAAUCAUUGAGCAUCUUGCUACACUUCAGUCUGAGAUAUUUCUAAGACAAUGCUCUUUGAAUGAUAAUGGGAGGUUAUGUUAUUUGAUCCACGAAAGAAGGACUUGCAUCGUUAACAAGAAACAAAUACGAUGGGGAAAUUGGAACUGUCCAUGUGACAAAAUUGCCAUUUUGAAAAUUACUGGUUUUGCAUUUGAAAAACAUGCAUUUGAAAAACAUGUCAAUCAGAAGUGCCAUUCUAAAAGAACAACUUUCAACUACAGUCCACACUGCUACACAUUGCAGAUGGAGUUUCUCAUAUAGGCAGUGAAAUAAAUUAGGCUACUUCAAACUGAAUCAUAGAUGAUUUCAAACUUAAAAAUGCUACAGGUUCUUGGACUUAUUGUGUUAACUUGUGAAGAAAGAAAACUAUAAUCAUGAAAAAAUUGAGCAAAGAAAACAAUUUAUUGCAUCUGAAUAUGUACUCAGUCAACAGGUAAUAACCUGUUUUGUGUUAUUAGUGAAUCUGUUUCAAUAUAGACAAAUGUAUCAGUUGAAGAAGAAUACUAAAUGAUUGUUCAACAUUUUAAAGUAUUCCAGUUUUGUUUUUAACAUAGUAGUGUGGAUCCCAGUGCAUUAAAAGAUUUUCCAUUAUCCGAGUUUGUUUUGCGGAUGAGAACACAAAACCAUGAGAACAGUCACAGAUGAGUGGACGUUAUUUGACC